AGUGAACGCUGGCGGUAGGCCUAACACAUGCAAGUCGAACGGCAGCACAGUAAGAGCUUGCUCUUACGGGUGGCGAGUGGCGGACGGGUGAGGAAUACAUCGGAAUCUACUUUUUCGGGGGGGAUAACGUAGGGAAACUUACGCUAAUACCGCAUACGACCUACGGGUGAAAGCAGGGGAUCUUCGGACCUUUCGCGAUUGAAUGAGCCGAUGUCGGAUUAGCUAGUUGGCGGGGUAAAGGCACACCAAGGCGACGAUGCGUAGCUGGUCUGAGAGGAUGAUCAGCCACACUGGAACUGAGACACGGUCCAGACUCCUACGGGAGGCAGCAGUGGGGAAUAUUGGACAAUGGGCGCAAGCCUGAUCCAGCCAUACCGCGUGGGUGAAGAAGGCCUUCGGGUUGUAAAGCCCUUUUGUUGGGAAAGAAAAGCAGCAGGUUAAUACCCCGCUGUUUUGACGGUACCCAAAGAAUAAGCACCGGCUAACUUCGUG
This 492-nucleotide ribosomal RNA is filed under the name uncultured bacterium. Its description in RNAcentral is "partial 16S ribosomal RNA". It matches the Rfam family "Bacterial small subunit ribosomal RNA", at positions 29 to 507 of the family's 1533-position model. The record is from RNAcentral.